Molecule: unclassified non-coding RNA, 180 nt
Filed under: uncultured fungus
Lineage: Eukaryota; Fungi
Description: sequence contains ITS1, 5.8S rRNA gene
Source: RNAcentral
GUAUUUUGAAUUGUUUAUUCAUAAUAUUUUUCAGACAAAGAGUUAAAAAAUAAAGGUUGAUGUUUGGUCGAUCUCCAUGAAGAAGAUCGACUGACAUUGCACACAAGGUGGAUAUGGAUUUAAAAAGUGCCAUAAAACACUCGUUUGUGAAUGAUCCUUCCGCAGGUUCACCUACGGAAA